Molecule: ribosomal RNA, 536 nt
Filed under: uncultured microorganism
Description: bacterial SSU rRNA
Rfam family: Bacterial small subunit ribosomal RNA
Source: RNAcentral
AGAGUUUGAUCCUGGCUCAGAUUGAACGCUGGCGGCAGGCCUAACACAUGCAAGUCGAGCGGCAGCGGAAAGUAGCUUGCUACUUUGCCGGCGAGCGGCGGACGGGUGAGUAACACGUAAGUAACCUGCCCUAGAGACUGGGAUAACUAUUGGAAACGAUAGCUAAUACCGGAUAGGUAACUAGUAGGCAUCUAUUAGUUAUUAAAGUUGGGUUGCAACACUCUAGGAUGGACCUGCGGUGUAUUAGCUAGUUGGUGAGGUAAUGGCUCACCAAGGCGACGAUACAUAGCCGACCUGAGAGGGUGACCGGCCACAUUGGGACUGAGACACGGCCCAGACUCCUACGGGAGGCAGCAGUAGGGAAUUUUCGGCAAUGGGGGAAACCCUGACCGAGCAAUGCCGCGUGAGUGAUGAAGGAUUUCGGUCUGUAAAGCUCUGUUGUAAGGGAAAAAGGAUGUUAAUAGGGAAUGAUUAAUAUUUGAUGGUACCUUACCAGAAAGCCACGGCUAACUACGUGCCAGCCGCCGCGGUAAUUC